This 652-nucleotide ribosomal RNA is filed under the name uncultured Pseudotomentella. RNAcentral describes it as "eukaryotic LSU rRNA". It matches the Rfam family "Eukaryotic large subunit ribosomal RNA", at positions 1 to 632 of the family's 3401-position model. Lineage: Eukaryota; Fungi; Basidiomycota; Agaricomycetes; Thelephorales; Thelephoraceae. The record is from RNAcentral.
UUGACCUCAAAUCAGGUAGGACUACCCGCUGAACUUAAGCAUAUCAAUAAGCGGAGGAAAAGAAACUAACGAGGAUUCCCCUAGUAACUGCGAGUGAAGCGGGAAAAGCUCAAAUUUAAAAUCUGGCGUGCCUUUGGUCGUCCGAGUUGUAGUCUGGAGAAGUGUUUUCUGCGUUGGACCGUGUACAAGUCCCUUGGAACAGGGCGUCGUAGAGGGUGAGAAUCCCGUCUUUGACACGGACUACCAGUGCUUUGUGAUGCGCUCUCAAAGAGUCGAGUUGUUUGGGAAUGCAGCUCAAAAUGGGUGGUAAAUUCCAUCUAAAGCUAAAUAUAGGCGAGAGACCGAUAGCGAACAAGUACCGUGAGGGAAAGAUGAAAAGCACUUUGGAAAGAGAGUUAAACAGUACGUGAAAUUGCUGAAAGGGAAACGCUUGAAGUUAGUCACAUCUGCUGGGACUCAGCCUCGCUUUAUUGCUUGGUGCACUUUCUAGUUUGAUGGGCCAGCAUCGAUUUUGACUGUUGGAAAAAGGUGGAGGGAAUGUGGCACCUUCGGGUGUGUUAUAGACCUCUAUCGCAUACAACGGUUGGGAUCGAGGAUCGCAGCACGCCUUUAUGGCCGGGGUUCGCCCACGUACGUGCUAGGAUGCUGCAUA